AUGCUGGAGGUAUCAGAAGUGCGAAUGCUGACAUAAGUAACGAUAAAGCGGGUGAAAAGCCCGCUCGCCGGAAGACCAAGGGUUCCUGUCCAACGUUAAUCGGGGCAGGGUGAGUCGACCCCUAAGGCGAGGCCGAAAGGCGUAGUCGAUGGGAAACAGGUUAAUAUUCCUGUACUUGGUGUUACUGCGAAGGGGGGACGGAGAAGGCUAUGUUGGCCGGGCGACGGUUGUCCCGGUUUAAGCGUGUAGGCUGGUUUUCCAGGCAAAUCCGGAAAACUAAGGCUGAGGCGUGAUGACGAGGCACUACGGUGCUGAAGCAACAAAUGCCCUGCUUCCAGGAAAAGCCUCUAAGCAUCAGGUAACAUCAAAUCGUACCCCAAACCGACACAGGUGGUCAGGUAGAGAAUACCAAGGCGCUUGAGAGAACUCGGGUGAAGGAACUAGGCAAAAUGGUGCCGUAACUUCGGGAGAAGGCACGCUGAUAUGUAGGUGAAGUCCCUCGCGGAUGGAGCUGAAAUCAGUCGAAGAUACCAGCUGGCUGCAACUGUUUAUUAAAAACACAGCACUGUGCAAACACGAAAGUGGACGUAUACGGUGUGACGCCUGCCCGGUGCCGGAAGGUUAAUUGAUGGGGUUAGCGCAAGCGAAGCUCUUGAUCGAAGCCCCGGUAAACGGCGGCCGUAACUAUAACGGUCCUAAGGUAGCGAAAUUCCUUGUCGGGUAAGUUCCGACCUGCACGAAUGGCGUAAUGAUGGCCAGGCUGUCUCCACCCGAGACUCAGUGAAAUUGAACUCGCUGUGAAGAUGCAGUGUACCCGCGGCAAGACGGAAAGACCCCGUGAACCUUUACUAUAGCUUGACACUGAACAUUGAGCCUUGAUGUGUAGGAUAGGUGGGAGGCUUUGAAGUGUGGACGCCAGUCUGCAUGGAGCCGACCUUGAAAUACCACCCUUUAAUGUUUGAUGUUCUAACGUUGACCCGUAAUCCGGGUUGCGGACAGUGUCUGGUGGGUAGUUUGACUGGGGCGGUCUCCUCCUAAAGAGUAACGGAGGAGCACGAAGGUUGGCUAAUCCUGGUCGGACAUCAGGAGGUUAGUGCAAUGGCAUAAGCCAGCUUGACUGCGAGCGUGACGGCGCGAGCAGGUGCGAAAGCAGGUCAUAGUGAUCCGGUGGUUCUGAAUGGAAGGGCCAUCGCUCAACGGAUAAAAGGUACUCCGGGGAUAACAGGCUGAUACCGCCCAAGAGUUCAUAUCGACGGCGGUGUUUGGCACCUCGAUGUCGGCUCAUCACAUCCUGGGGCUGAAGUAGGUCCCAAGGGUAUGGCUGUUCGCCAUUUAAAGUGGUACGCGAGCUGGGUUUAGAACGUCGUGAGACAGUUCGGUCCCUAUCUGCCGUGGGCGCUGGAGAACUGAGGGGGGCUGCUCCUAGUACGAGAGGACCGGAGUGGACGCAUCACUGGUGUUCGGGUUGUCAUGCCAAUGGCACUGCCCGGUAGCUAAAUGCGGAAGAGAUAAGUGCUGAAAGCAUCUAAGCACGAAACUUGCCCCGAGAUGAGUUCUCCCUGACUCCUUGAGAGUCCUGAAGGAACGUUGAAGACGACGACGUUGAUAGGCCGGGUGUGUAAGCGCAGCGAUGCGUUGAGCUAACCGGUACUAAUGAACCGUGAGGCUUAACCUUACAACGCCGAAGGUGUUU
This 1693-nucleotide ribosomal RNA is filed under the name Escherichia coli. RNAcentral's name for it is "partial 23S ribosomal RNA". It matches the Rfam family "Bacterial large subunit ribosomal RNA", at positions 1270 to 2925 of the family's 2925-position model. The record is from RNAcentral. Lineage: Bacteria; Pseudomonadati; Pseudomonadota; Gammaproteobacteria; Enterobacterales; Enterobacteriaceae.